GGACGAACGCUGGCGGCGCGCCUAACACAUGCAAGUCGAACGAGCGAGAGAGAGCUUGCUUUCUUGAGCGAGUGGCGAACGGGUGAGUAACGCGUGAGGAACCUGCCUCAAAGAGGGGGACAACAGUUGGAAACGACUGCUAAUACCGCAUAAGCCCACGGUGCCGCAUGGCACAGAGGGAAAAGGAGCAAUCCGCUUUGAGAUGGCCUCGCGUCCGAUUAGCUAGUUGGUGAGGUAACGGCCCACCAAGGCGACGAUCGGUAGCCGGACUGAGAGGUUGAACGGCCACAUUGGGACUGAGACACGGCCCAGACUCCUACGGGAGGCAGCAGUGGGGAAUAUUGCACAAUGGGGGAAACCCUGAUGCAGCGACGCCGCGUGGAGGAAGAAGGUCUUCGGAUUGUAAACUCCUGUUGUUGGGGAAGAUAAUGACGGUACCCAACAAGGAAGUGACGGCUAACUACGUG
RNAcentral lists this ribosomal RNA (467 nucleotides) under uncultured bacterium. RNAcentral describes it as "partial 16S ribosomal RNA". It matches the Rfam family "Bacterial small subunit ribosomal RNA", at positions 27 to 507 of the family's 1533-position model. The record is from RNAcentral.